UCCCAUAUAUUAUUAAUAAGAUUUUCUCGCUCUGUAGUUAUAUAUUAUUGUAGUGGCCAUUCCUCAGAAUCAAGGAAAAAUGAUAGGGAAUCUAGGUCCAAAUUGGCGCUGUCCUCGAAACAGGCACUGGUGGCCCAAUCGUUGAACACAGGCGGCCCCUCCAUGGGUAGGGACCGGUGAUGAUCAUGACCCGAGGACAAAUUCUCCUCGUAAUUAUAGUCCACUGGGGCAGCAUCUCCAUCGCUUGCUUGAAAUUCAUGGCAAUCAAGAUUCAAGAAAUCUAAAUCAUCAUCAUGAUGGUAACUCUGG
This 309-nucleotide unclassified non-coding RNA is filed under the name Hevea brasiliensis (rubber tree). The record is from RNAcentral. Lineage: Eukaryota; Viridiplantae; Streptophyta; Magnoliopsida; Malpighiales; Euphorbiaceae.